UACAGAGGCCUCGAGCGUUAGGCGGAAUCACUGGGCUUAAAGCGUGUGUAGGCGGACUUCUAAGUACCUUGUGAAAUCCCACGGCUUACCCGUGGAACGGCUGGAUAUACUGGGAGUCUUGAGCCACCUAGGGGCGAGUGGAACAAAUGGUGGAGCGGUGAAAUGCGUAGAUAUCAUUUGGAACGCCAAUGGUGAAAACAACUCGCUGGGGGUGUGCUGACGCUGAGACACGAAAGCCAGGGGAGCGAACGGG
Molecule: ribosomal RNA, 253 nt
Filed under: uncultured bacterium
Lineage: Bacteria
Description: partial 16S ribosomal RNA
Rfam family: Bacterial small subunit ribosomal RNA
Source: RNAcentral